Non-coding RNA from Podarcis lilfordi (Lilford's wall lizard), 72 nucleotides. The record is from the annotation of a GenBank genome assembly. Lineage: Eukaryota; Metazoa; Chordata; Lepidosauria; Squamata; Lacertidae.
GGGGUAAACUCAGGGAGACAGUGUGCCUGCUUGGCAUGCAGAAGGUGCCAGGUUCAAUCCCUGGCAUCUCCA